GAUCGAACCCCCAACCUCAUACUUAAGGGGCGAGGUGCUGAACCACCACGCCAACCAUGUUGGUUAAUUUAAUAUAUAAUAUAUUUA
Long non-coding RNA from Ipomoea nil (Japanese morning glory), 87 nucleotides. RefSeq lists it as uncharacterized. The record is from RefSeq and is a predicted model, not a curated record. NCBI's taxonomy places the organism in Eukaryota, Viridiplantae, Streptophyta, Magnoliopsida, Solanales, Convolvulaceae. The transcript has 3 exons.